AGAAAGAAGAGGAAUUUCAGAACCUCUGCUAAGGAAAUCUAACGAUUACCCAAUAUGCAGCCCGAUUUGUCCAAUUAUUUAGGUUUUUUCCUAUAAUGGUCACUCUGAAAGUCAUAAAGUUAGAAAGUUUCUUAAAGGACUUUGUGUCGAUAUUUAUGAUCAGGUUACGAUGUUGAGACCUAGCUCGUAUGCCAAGGUGCUAGAACAU
RNAcentral lists this long non-coding RNA (208 nucleotides) under Carica papaya (papaya). RNAcentral describes it as "long non-coding RNA (CPAP_LNC007895)". Lineage: Eukaryota; Viridiplantae; Streptophyta; Magnoliopsida; Brassicales; Caricaceae. The record is from RNAcentral.